CGCGUAUGCAACCUGCCUAUUACAGGGGAGUAGCCCGGACGAAAUACCGGAUUAAUACCCACUAGUUCCAUAUUGUCACCUGACAAUAAGGAUAAAGUUUCGAUGGUAAUAGAUGGGCAUGCGUGACAUUAGCUAGUUGGUAAGGUAACUGCUUACCAAGGCGACGAUGUCUAGGGGUCUGAGAGGAUUAUCCCCCACACUGGUACUGAGACACGGACCAGACUCCUACGGGAGGCAGCAGUGAGGAAUAUUGGUCAAUGGGCGAAAGCCUGAACCAGCCAUCCCGCGUGCAGGAAGACAGCCC
This 304-nucleotide ribosomal RNA is filed under the name uncultured Bacteroidota bacterium. RNAcentral's name for it is "bacterial SSU rRNA". It matches the Rfam family "Bacterial small subunit ribosomal RNA", at positions 114 to 417 of the family's 1533-position model. The record is from RNAcentral. Lineage: Bacteria; Pseudomonadati; Bacteroidota.